GCUGGAUUGUGUUUGUUCUCUCCAUCAGAUUCCUGUCAACUCACAAUCGACACAAACACAGUGAACACAAAGCUCCAACUGUCUGACAACAACAGGAAGGUGACACAUGUGGAGGAGGUUCAGUCAUAUCCUGAUCAUCCAGACAGAUUUGAUGUUUAUCAGCUGCUGUGUAGAAAUGGUCUGACUGGUCGCUGUUACUGGGAGGUCGAGUGGAGAGGAGACGUUUAUAUAUCAGUGAGUUACAGAAGCAUCAGAAGGAAAGGAGGCAGUAAUGACUGUGUGUUUGGAAAAAUGAUCAGUCCUGGAGUCUGAUCUGCUCUGAUGAUGGUCUAUUUGUCUGGCACAAUAACAGACGAACAUCCAUCCUCCUCCUCCUCCUCCUCUGUCUCUAACAGAGCAGCAGUGUAUGUGGACUGUCCUGCUGGCACUCUGUCCUUCUACAGAGUCUCCUCUGACACUCUGAUCCACCUCCACACCUUCAACACCACAUUCACUCAAACUCUUUAUCCUGGGUUUAGAUUGGUCUCCUGGUUCCUCAGUGUCCCUGUGCUGAGUGGAGUGUAAAGAGUGUCUCCUGUUACAGAAACACUCUGACUGUUGAACAGAUAGUUCAGUCUGUACAUGUCUGUCUCUUUCACUCACAAACACGUUUUCAGAUUCAUGGAUUCAAUCAGUUGAUGUUUGAAACUCUUCUAAAUGAUUCCUUGUAAACUUCUUCCUCUUCAGUCACAAACAAACAGGAAGUGAUGUCACAUGUGUUCCUGUCCACACAGCAGAAUGAGUCUAUUGCUGACAGUGAUGUACAAACAGAGUGAGCAUUUCUGAGGCCCAAAAUAAACUGAGUAGUUCACUGAAUGAACAAUGGACUGUGAGCUCAGUUCCUUCAUCAUUAGUAUGGAUUAUAUAUGUAUAUGUAUUAUAUUAGUAUCAUAUAUAUCAGGUGCUGCUGCUUUCAGUCAUUGUGCAAAUGUGCUGUUUGUAAGCUUGUAAAGCUGCAGUCAGCUGAGACUGAAGAAGUCACCUGAUCAGUGAGCAAACGUUUCUGAAAACGUCCAUAUGAACAGAAUCAACCUUUUGGGAUCAGCCAGCAAUGCAGCAUCAUUGUUGUUCAGGUUCAGAGGUUUGCAGGAAUGAACUGAUGACCAGAAACAGCUGCAAAGUCCAAAAAAUACCAGCUGGAGUUCAGCUGCAUUUGAAGAAGUCAAAGAAAAGUAAGGAUGGCAAAGGGCGACGUUUUCUUCCAAAGAACUGAAAACAUGGUCGACGCCUCAUUAGAAGAAUCAUCUGGACAUUUGUGAGGAACUCUAACCAAGAAAGCAACGUCACACAGAUCCAACAGACAGUUUCCAUGACUGCAAGUGUUCAGUG
Haplochromis burtoni (Burton's mouthbrooder) is the source of this 1368-nucleotide long non-coding RNA. RefSeq lists it as uncharacterized. The record is from RefSeq and is a predicted model, not a curated record. NCBI's taxonomy places the organism in Eukaryota, Metazoa, Chordata, Actinopteri, Cichliformes, Cichlidae. The transcript has 2 exons.